RNAcentral lists this unclassified non-coding RNA (467 nucleotides) under Caryophanon tenue. Its description in RNAcentral is "contains 16S-23S intergenic spacer region". The stretch from base 1 to 205 matches the Rfam family "Bacterial small subunit ribosomal RNA", at positions 1330 to 1533 of the family's 1533-position model. Lineage: Bacteria; Bacillati; Bacillota; Bacilli; Caryophanales; Caryophanaceae. The record is from RNAcentral.
CUUCGCUAGUAAUCGCGGAUCAGCAUGCCGCGGUGAAUACGUUCCCGGGCCUUGUACACACCGCCCGUCACACCACGAGAGUUUGUAACACCCGAAGCCGGUGGGGUAACCUUUAUGGAGCCAGCCGUCGAAGGUGGGAUAGAUGAUUGGGGUGAAGUCGUAACAAGGUAGCCGUAUCGGAAGGUGCGGCUGGAUCACCUCCUUUCUAAGGAUAACUUCGGAAAGUAACCAAUCGUGGUUACUACUCAUCAGCGUUUGUGUUCAGUUUUGAAGGUUUCAUAAUCUUCAAAACCUUGCUCCUGCGAUUACUCGUCGCAAAAGCAAACUUUUGUUCUUUGAAAACUGAAUAAAACGAUAUCGAAAACAAACAAAACAUCUAUUUUUUAAAUAGAAACAAGUCAAGUAAUUGACGUGUAUCUCUUAAAAUCUUAAACCUCCGGGUUUAAGUAGUAACUUUUAGGUUAAGU